Molecule: long non-coding RNA, 989 nt
Organism: Bactrocera tryoni
Lineage: Eukaryota; Metazoa; Arthropoda; Insecta; Diptera; Tephritidae
Exons: 2
Source: RefSeq, a predicted model, not a curated record
UAAACUCGCACUCGCCUCACACCCGAGCUUAUAAAAACAAAAAUAACAAAUAAAAUUCACGCGGUGUAACGAACCGGCUCGAGCGAGUUGGGGUACUAGAAGGAGCCGAGGAGAACAAACAAAAACAAAAAACUAGUCGGGCAACUCGUCAACAGUUCAGGUGAGCGGCGAAAAAAGCAAACGUGAAAGGUUUGAAAAGCAAAAACAAGAACAAAACCAAAACACGAAAUAAUAACUAAAAGUCAAGUAUUGAAACUGAAAAAAACAAAGCUCUUUAUGAGCACAUGAACAAGUAAUUGGCCGAAGUGAGCGCCUAAUGGCCACAUGUGAUCGGUGACGCCGUCGACAGAGUAAAUAUUGCAAUUCAGAAGUAUUCGGCAAAUUCUGAUACACACCUCACACCGUUCGCGCUUAUCGGGCGUGCUCGGAGCAGCUGCUUAAAUAUCUCAUUUCAUGCUAAAGUAAACAACACAUCGCCUGCCUCACCUAGUCUCCUCCCACCCCGCAACAGUGCUGGAGCAGCAGGAGUACGGGAGGGAGUUUGCUCUUGUGAAAUGUGCGACAUUAGCACGUUUCAUCCAGCCCGAAGCAAAAGCCGCGCAAGUGUUUACACUUUAAAGUAAAUAGAAAUAUGAACACACACACACACACAUAGCUGUUGUGACGUUAGCGAAGGCAACUGCCACUUCUCGUGUUGCCACAUAACGCGUUUCGAAUUACAUAAAAGUGAAGCAACAGAUGGUCCACCGCAUUCCAAGCCAGUGUGUGAGUAUGUGAGCACGUUUCUUCAGAUGACGUGUGCAUUCUGAAGCUUAGAGCUGGCAGCAGCAGGCGGCGAGAAAUCAAGAGCAUUUAGCAAGAGCCAGCGCAACUGUCAAGCCAAAUCCGUGCUGCUUUGGCGAAUUGUGUCACAACUUGUUUGUGUUCGCACCAAACUCACUUAAUAAGGAAUUAAUAGAUAUGUUUGAAUAAAGACACUUGCGGAAUAA